CCUACGGGAGGCAGCAGUGGGGAAUAUUGCACAAUGGGGGAAACCCUGAUGCAGCGACGCCGCGUGAGUGAGGAAGUAUUUCGGUAUGUAAAGCUCUAUCAGCAGGGAAGAAAAUGACGGUACCUGACUAAGAAGCCCCGGCUAACUACGUGCCAGCAGCCGCGGUAAUACGUAGGGGGCAAGCGUUAUCCGGAUUUACUGGGUGUAAAGGGAGCGUAGACGGAUAAGCAAGUCUGAUGUGAAAAUCCGGGGCCCAACCCCGGAAUUGCAUUGGAAACUGCAUAUCUAGAGUGUCGGAGAGGCAAGUGGAAUUCCUGGUGUAGCGGUGAAAUGCGUAGAUAUCAGGAGGAACACCAGUGGCGAAGGCGGCUUGCUGGACGAUGACUGACGUUGAGGCUCGAAAGCGUGGGGAGCAAACAGGAUUAGAUACCCCUGUAG
This 438-nucleotide ribosomal RNA is filed under the name uncultured bacterium. RNAcentral's name for it is "bacterial SSU rRNA". It matches the Rfam family "Bacterial small subunit ribosomal RNA", at positions 338 to 793 of the family's 1533-position model. The record is from RNAcentral.